RNAcentral lists this ribosomal RNA (497 nucleotides) under uncultured bacterium. RNAcentral's name for it is "partial 16S ribosomal RNA". It matches the Rfam family "Bacterial small subunit ribosomal RNA", at positions 28 to 507 of the family's 1533-position model. The record is from RNAcentral.
GAUGAACGCUGGCGGCGUGCCUAAUACAUGCAAGUCGAGCGAACAGACGAGGAGCUUGCUCCUCUGACGUUAGCGGCGGACGGGUGAGUAACACGUGGAUAACCUCCCUAUAAGACUGGGAUAACUUCGGGAAACCGGAUCUAAUACCGUAUAAUAUAUUGAACCGCAUGGUUCAAUAGUAAAAUACGGUUUUGCUGUCACUUAUAGAUGGUUCCGCGCCUCAUUAGCUAGUUGGUAAGGUAACGGCUUACCAAGGCAACGAUGCGUAGCCGACCUGAGAGGGUGAUCGGCCACACUGGAACUGAGACACGGUCCAGACUCCUACGGGAGGCAGCAGUAGGGAAUCUUCCGCAAUGGGCGAAAGCCUGACGGAGCAACGCCGCGUGAGUGAUGAAGGUCUUCGGAUCGUAAAACUCUGUUAUUAGGGAAGAACAAAUGUGUAAGUAACUAUGCACGUCUUGACGGUACCUAAUCAGAAAGCCACGGCUAACUACGUG